ACUAAAUUGCACAAAUUGAGGCCCUAAUCAAGACAAUUACUCUUGCAUGUUGGUAGAUUCUUGAUCUCCUAGGUCCAUUAAAGCAUAAGGAAUUAAGGAGGAAAGCUCAAGCCGUUCCGAGUCUCAAACGAAGAACGAUAAAGGUAAAGCGACUUGUUAAAUGGCGUUACUUGGAUCGAACACACUCUUGAUGCACUUCUGCAAGGAUAUUAGUUUUUGGUUAAAACUUUU
Molecule: long non-coding RNA, 231 nt
Organism: Helianthus annuus (common sunflower)
Lineage: Eukaryota; Viridiplantae; Streptophyta; Magnoliopsida; Asterales; Asteraceae
Exons: 3
Source: RefSeq, a predicted model, not a curated record